GGGGCCGACUUGGCUUUGACAGCGUGCGAGUGGAUUCGUAAGCAUGCCGUGUGUUGUUGCUGUGACACGUACCCAUCUAGCAUCACUAACUUUUUUAAUUGGCGAAAACAAUUACGCUCUCGCUGCCUAGACCGAAGCAUAGUAAGCUAGGCUCUGACUUACGCCGAUAGGCGAAGACGAGACAUCGCUCGAGGCUCUUAUUCCGAAGUUGCUCGAUCUAUAGCGGUGCAUCAAUAUCGGGAUCCAUAGUCCGAAGAGUUCUCUCCGUUGGAAUAUGGUACAAAAGGAGGGAUAAGCGACGACAAUGCAGUAGCUCUAGCUGCUAUUCGUUGCCGACAAUUGAAGUAGAGCUAAGCAUGUAGAAAGCGUAUUUGUUCUGCGUUUGGACGAGGGUUCAAUUCCCUCCGGCUCCACUA
Non-coding RNA from Bacteroidales bacterium KA00251, 416 nucleotides. It matches the Rfam family "transfer-messenger RNA". Rfam says of the family: Bacterial tmRNA, also known as 10Sa RNA or SsrA, is named for its dual tRNA and mRNA-like properties. Lineage: Bacteria; Pseudomonadati; Bacteroidota; Bacteroidia; Bacteroidales. The record is from Rfam.